CGCGCAGGCGGCCAAGUCAGUCGAAUGUGAAAGCCCCCGGCUCAACUGGGGAGGGUCAUUCGAUACUGCUCGGCUCGAAGACAGGAGAGGGAAGUGGAAUUCCCGGUGUAGUGGUGAAAUGCGUAGAUAUCGGGAGGAACACCAGUGGCGAAGGCGACUUUCUGGCCUGUUCUUGACGCUGAGGCGCGAAAGCUAGGGGAGCAAACG
This 207-nucleotide ribosomal RNA is filed under the name uncultured bacterium. Its description in RNAcentral is "partial 16S ribosomal RNA". It matches the Rfam family "Bacterial small subunit ribosomal RNA", at positions 568 to 774 of the family's 1533-position model. The record is from RNAcentral.